This 546-nucleotide ribosomal RNA is filed under the name uncultured bacterium. Its description in RNAcentral is "bacterial LSU rRNA". It matches the Rfam family "Bacterial large subunit ribosomal RNA", at positions 521 to 1044 of the family's 2925-position model. The record is from RNAcentral.
GUACCCCGGGAGGGGAGUGAAAUAGUACCUGAAACCGUGUGCCUACAAUCCGUCAGAGCCCUCCUUUGGUGGGGGUGAUGGCGUGCCUUUUGAAGAAUGAGCCUGCGAGUCAGGGACAUGUCGCGAGGUUAACCCCGUGGGGGGUAGCCGUAGCGAAAGCGAGUCUGAAUAGGGCGUAUCCCGUAAGGGUGUAGUGGCAUGUUCUGGACCCGAAGCGGAGUGAUCUACCCAUGGCCAGGGUGAAGCGCGGGUAAGACCGCGUGGAGGCCCGAACCCACUUAGGUUGAAGACUGAGGGGAUGAGCUGUGGGUAGGGGUGAAAGGCCAAUCAAAACUCCGUGAUAGCUGGUUCUCCCCGAAAUGCAUUUAGGUGCAGCGUUGCGUGUUUCUUGCCGGAGGUAGAGCUACUGGAUGGCCGAUGGGCCUCACCAGGUUACUGACGUCAGCCAAACUCCGAAUGCCGGUAAGACAAAAGACGUGGCAGUGAGACGGCGGGGGAGUAAGCUCCGUGCGUCGAGAGGGAAACAGCCCAGAUCGCCGACUAAGG